This 86-nucleotide ribosomal RNA is filed under the name Rathayibacter sp. AY1A4. RNAcentral describes it as "partial 16S ribosomal RNA". It matches the Rfam family "Bacterial small subunit ribosomal RNA", at positions 1 to 83 of the family's 1533-position model. Lineage: Bacteria; Bacillati; Actinomycetota; Actinomycetes; Micrococcales; Microbacteriaceae. The record is from RNAcentral. RNAcentral also lists the same sequence under 4 other names.
UUUUUACGGAGAGUUUGAUCCUGGCUCAGGACGAACGCUGGCGGCGUGCUUAACACAUGCAAGUCGAACGAUGAAGCCCAGCUUGC